RNAcentral lists this ribosomal RNA (898 nucleotides) under Lactifluus piperatus. RNAcentral's name for it is "eukaryotic LSU rRNA". It matches the Rfam family "Eukaryotic large subunit ribosomal RNA", at positions 65 to 940 of the family's 3401-position model. The record is from RNAcentral. Lineage: Eukaryota; Fungi; Basidiomycota; Agaricomycetes; Russulales; Russulaceae.
CUAACAGGAUUCCCCUAGUAACUGCGAGUGAAGCGGGAAAAGCUCAAAUUUAAAAUCUSGCWGUCUUUUGGCUGUCCGAGUUGUAAUUUAGAGAAGCGUCUUCCGCGCCGGACCGUGCACAAGUCUCCUGGAAUGGAGCGUCAUAGAGGGUGAGAAUCCCGUCUUUGGCAUGGACACCCGGGGCUUCUGCGAUGCGCUCUCGAAGAGUCGAGUUGUUUGGGAAUGCAGCUCAAAAUGGGUGGUGAACUCCAUCUAAAGCUAAAUAUUGGCGAGAGACCGAUAGCGAACAAGUACCGUGAGGGAAAGAUGAAAAGCACUUUGGAAAGAGAGUGAAACAGUACGUGAAAUUGUUGAAAGGGAAACGCUUGAAGUCAGUCGCGUCGAUCGAGACUCAGCCUUGCCUUGGCUUGGCAUACUUCUCGGCUGACGGGCCAGCAUCAAUUUUGUCUCUCGGAUAAUGACAAGGGAAAGGUGGCACCUUCACCGGUGUGUUAUAGUCUCCUGUCGCAUGCGAGGGGUGGGAUUGAGGAACUCAGCACGCACCUCUUGGUGUCGGGGCUUCUGCCCACGCUACGUGCUUAGGAUGUUGGCGUAAUGGCUUUAAACGACCCGUCUUGAAACACGGACCAAGGAGUCUAACAUGCCCGCGAGUGUUCGGGUGGAAAACCCGUGCGCGUAAUGAAAGUGAAAGUUGGGACCUCUAUCGUGGAGGGCACCGACGCCCGGACCAGACCUUCUGUGACGGAUCUGCGGUAGAGCGUGCAUGUUGGGACCCGAAAGAUGGUGAACUAUGCCUGAAUAGGGUGAAGCCAGAGGAAACUCUGGUGGAGGCUMGKRGCGAUUCUGACGUGCAAAUCGAUCGUCAAAUUUGGGUAUAGGGGCGAAAGACUAAUCGAAC